This 607-nucleotide ribosomal RNA is filed under the name Apiotrichum montevideense. Its description in RNAcentral is "eukaryotic LSU rRNA". It matches the Rfam family "Eukaryotic large subunit ribosomal RNA", at positions 68 to 669 of the family's 3401-position model. Lineage: Eukaryota; Fungi; Basidiomycota; Tremellomycetes; Trichosporonales; Trichosporonaceae. The record is from RNAcentral.
UUCAGGAUUCCCUAGUACGGCGAGUGACCGGGAAAAGCUCAAAUUUGAAAUCUGGCUGUCUUCGAUAGUCCGAGUUGUAAUCUAUAGAAGCGUUUUCCGUGCUGAACUGUGUCUAAGUCCCUUGGAACAGGGUAUCAAAGAGGGUGAUAAUCCCGUACUUGACACAACAAUCAGUGCUCUGUGAUACGUUCUCUACGAGUCGAGUUGUUUGGGAAUGCAGCUCAAAAUGGGUGGUAAAUUCCAUCUAAAGCUAAAUAUUGGCGAGAGACCGAUAGCGAACAAGUACCGUGAGGGAAAGAUGAAAAGCACUUUGGAAAGAGAGUUAAACAGUACGUGAAAUUGUUGAAAGGGAAACGAUUGAAGUCAGUCGUGUUCAUUGGAUUCAGCUAGUUCUUCUAGUCUACUUCCUUUGAACGGGUCAACAUCAGUUUUGUCCGGUGGAUAAAGGAUUUAGGAAUGUAACUCCCUCGGGAGUGUUAUAGCCUAGGUUCACAUACACUGGGUGAGACUGAGGACUGCAGCUCGCCUUUUGGCCGGGGUUCGCCCACGUUCGAGCUUAGGAUGUUGACAUAAUGGCUUUAAACGACCCGUCUUGAACACGGAACAA